CCUACGGGUGGCAGCAGUGGGGAAUAUUGCACAAUGGGGGAAACCCUGAUGCAGCGACGCCGCGUGAGCGAUGAAGUAUUUCGGUAUGUAAAGCUCUAUCAGCAGGGAAGAAAAUGACGGUACCUGACUCAGAAGCCCCGGCUAACUACGUGCCAGCAGCCGCGGAAAUACGGAGGGGGCACGCGUUAUCCGGAUUUACUGGGGUUAAAGGGAGCGUAGACGGUCCUGCAAGCCAGAUGUGAAAGCCGGGGGCUCAACCCCGGGACUGCAUUUGGAACUGUAAGGCUAGAGUGUAGGAGAGGCAGGCGGAAUGCGUGGUGUAGCGGUGGAAUGCGUAGAUAUUAGGAGGAACACCAGUGGCGAAGGCGGCCUGCUGGACGAUGACUGACGUUGAGGCUCGAAAGCGUGGGGAGCGAACAGGAUUAGAUACCCGAGUAGUC
Molecule: ribosomal RNA, 440 nt
Filed under: uncultured bacterium
Lineage: Bacteria
Description: partial 16S ribosomal RNA
Rfam family: Bacterial small subunit ribosomal RNA
Source: RNAcentral